This 253-nucleotide ribosomal RNA is filed under the name uncultured prokaryote. RNAcentral's name for it is "partial 16S ribosomal RNA". It matches the Rfam family "Bacterial small subunit ribosomal RNA", at positions 524 to 776 of the family's 1533-position model. The record is from RNAcentral.
UACGUAGGGACCAAGCGUUGUUCGGAUUUACUGGGCGUAAAGGGCGCGUAGGCGGCAUGACAAGUCACUUGUGAAAUCUUCGGGCUUAACCCGGAACGGCCAAGUGAUACUGUCAUGCUAGAGUGCAGAAGGGGCAAUCGGAAUUCACGGUGUAGCGGUGAAAUGCGUAGAUAUCUGGAGGAACACCGGUGGCGAAGGCGGCAUCCUGGACCAAUUCUGACGCUGAGGAGCGAAAGCCAGGGGAGCAAACGGG